CCUACGGGAGGCUGCAGUGGGGAAUAUUGGACAAUGGGCGAAAGCCUGAUCCAGCCAUGCCGCGUGUGUGAAGAAGGCCUUCGGGUUGUAAAGCACUUUCAGUGGGGAAGAAAGCCUUGGGGCUAAUACCCUCGAGGAAGGACAUCACCCACAGAAGAAGCACCGGCUAACUCCGUGCCAGCAGCCGCGGUAAUACGGAGGGUGCGAGCGUUAAUCGGAAUUACUGGGCGUAAAGCGCGCGUAGGCGGUCUGAUAAGCCGGUUGUGAAAGCCCCGGGCUCAACCUGGGAACGGCAUCCGGAACUGACAGGCUAGAGUGCUGGGGAGGAAGAUAGAACACGCGGGGUAGCGGUGAAAUGCAUAGAGAUCGGGAGGAAUACCAGUGGCGAAGGCGGCCUUCUGGACUGACACUGACGCUGAGGUGCGAAAGCGUGGGUAGCAAACAGGAUUAGAUACCCGAGUAGUC
This 465-nucleotide ribosomal RNA is filed under the name Vreelandella stevensii. RNAcentral's name for it is "partial 16S ribosomal RNA". It matches the Rfam family "Bacterial small subunit ribosomal RNA", at positions 338 to 795 of the family's 1533-position model. The record is from RNAcentral. Lineage: Bacteria; Pseudomonadati; Pseudomonadota; Gammaproteobacteria; Oceanospirillales; Halomonadaceae.